This 459-nucleotide ribosomal RNA is filed under the name uncultured bacterium. RNAcentral describes it as "partial 16S ribosomal RNA". It matches the Rfam family "Bacterial small subunit ribosomal RNA", at positions 338 to 795 of the family's 1533-position model. The record is from RNAcentral.
CCUACGGGAGGCAGCAGUGAGGAAUAUUGGUCAAUGGCCGCGAGGCUGAACCAGCCAAGUCGCGUGAGGGAAGACGGCUCUACGGGUUGUAAACUUCUUUUGUCCGGGAGCAAAGCCAGUCACGCGUGACUCUUUGAGAGUAUCCGAAGAAUAAGCAUCGGCUAACUCCGUGCCAGCAGCCGCGGUAAUACGGAGGAUGCGAGCGUUAUCCGGAUUUAUUGGGUUUAAAGGGUGCGUAGGCGGUCGAGAAAGUAAGCGGUAAAAUUGCGGGGCUCAACCCCGUACUGCCGUUGAAACUGCUUGGCGUGAGAGCAGGAGAGGUAGGCGGAAUGCGUGGUGUAGCGGUGAAAUGCAUAGAGAUCACACAGAACACCGAUUGCGAAGGCAGCAUACCGGCGUACAACUGACGCUCAUGCACGAAAGCGUGGGGAUCGAACAGGAUUAGAUACCCCAGUAGUC